This 492-nucleotide ribosomal RNA is filed under the name uncultured bacterium. Its description in RNAcentral is "partial 16S ribosomal RNA". It matches the Rfam family "Bacterial small subunit ribosomal RNA", at positions 29 to 507 of the family's 1533-position model. The record is from RNAcentral.
AGUGAACGCUGGCGGCAGGCUUAACACAUGCAAGUCGAACGGCAGCACAGUAAUAGCUUGCUCUUACGGGUGGCGAGUGGCGGACGGGUGAGGAAUACAUCGGAAUCUACUUUUUCGUGGGGGAUAACGUAGGGAAACUUACGCUAAUACCGCAUACGACCUACGGAUGAAAGCAUGGGAUCUUCGGACCUUGCGCGAUUGAAUGAGCCGAUGUCGGAUUAGCUAGUUGGCGGGGUAAAGGCCCACCAAGGCGACGAUCCGUAGCUGGUCUGAGAGGAUGAUCAGCCACACUGGAACUGAGAUACGGUCCAGACUCCUACGGGAGGCAGCAGUGGGGAAUAUUGGACAAUGGGCGCAAGCCUGAUCCAGCCAUACCGCGUGGGUGAAGAAGGCCUUCGGGUUGUAAAGCCCUUUUGUUGGGAAAGAAAAGCAGUAGGUUAAUACCCCGCUGUUCUGACGGUACCAAAAGAAUAAGCACCGGCUAACUUCGUG